Molecule: long non-coding RNA, 361 nt
Organism: Acanthopagrus latus (yellowfin seabream)
Lineage: Eukaryota; Metazoa; Chordata; Actinopteri; Spariformes; Sparidae
Exons: 3
Source: RefSeq, a predicted model, not a curated record
AGGACAUUGUCUUUACCAGAAAAUUGCUCUUAGCUGCGUAUUCCCUCAACCCUUUCCACCGUGCUGGGAAAGACGAAGAGAUCUGGCUGGCCGUGAUCGGCUUAAUCAGGACUGUGUGAACUCGUCUGGAAAAGCCUCCGAGACCCAUUUGAAAUGCAGGAGGAGAACAGAGGUGAAAUCGGAACACUACCACUAUCUGAAUUAAUUCACGGCCAUACAAAGCGGAAGGAUGGCUUCAAGAGUACCACUGAAAUGCAGAAUCCAUUUUCAAAAGAUGAAGCCUGGUCUAUGAUGGAUCUGAGGACAGUCUGAAGUAGACCCAAGGAUUAUUAGAUCCAGACAGACUGAUAAUAGGCAGCAG